Molecule: long non-coding RNA, 519 nt
Filed under: Oryctolagus cuniculus (rabbit)
Lineage: Eukaryota; Metazoa; Chordata; Mammalia; Lagomorpha; Leporidae
Description: lncRNA (ENSOCUG00000039368.1)
Source: RNAcentral
GGUCUUGUCCUGCCCCCUUGUUCCUGACUGGUUAUCCUUCCAAACGUCAAGAGAAGCGACAUUUUUAUUAAAGAUGCCCAAUAUGGCCCUGAAGUCUGCAGAUGAACAGGAGCAUUCCUGGGGAGUAGGGCACUUAUUGCUGCAGAAAAGUUGCCUGUAGAGGGCAAGAUCAAUAAAAAAGGAAUGAACAGUGAAAUGAAUGCUUGACACUGGCUGGAAUAUAGAACAAUAACAACCAUGUUAACAAACUGCAAACCUGUGCACAGAAACAAGAUAAAGAAAACAUACCACGAUGUUAACCACACGGUCUUUGGAUGGUGAAAAUAUGGGCUGGCUACCCUAAAUCCACACAUACCUUCUAAAGAGGCUGCCAUAAACUUACUAGCAACCAUUUGAAGGGGAGCUGCCUCAAGUGGCUUGGAGAUGAAGAGAGGAAACAAUCAUUAUGAUGGGAAGAAUGUGCCUUACCGCCCACACUGUGGCACUGAGAAGUCAUGCAGUCCAAUGAAAAACUACUGA